Molecule: unclassified non-coding RNA, 550 nt
Filed under: uncultured bacterium
Lineage: Bacteria
Description: partial contains 16S ribosomal RNA, 16S-23S ribosomal RNA intergenic spacer, and 23S ribosomal RNA
Rfam family: Bacterial large subunit ribosomal RNA (bases 420-550)
Source: RNAcentral
UGCGGCUGGAUCCCCUCCUUUCUAAGGAGCCUACGACUGGAGGGGCGAUCUUGUAUAAGAUCACCGUUUCAGUAACUCCUAGGUCGACAGAUCUCGUCGGCUUGGCUCACCACACUAUCCGUACAUCUUGGUUUCCAAUUAGAACCGAUAUUCUUAUCGGGCCUAUAGCUCAGUUGGUAAGAGCGCACGCCUGAUAAGCGUGAGGUCGAUAGUUCAAAUCUAUCUAGGCCCACCAGGUUCUGGAGACGAUCUUCUAAGUCAGGGGAUAUAGCUCAAUUGGGAGAGCACCGCCUUUGCAAGGCGGGGGUUGCCGGUUCGAGCCCGGUUAUCUCCACCAUUAGGGGAUUCUCUGGUAGUGACCAGACAUGAUCUUUGACAAUCUGCAGGGUAAGAGAGCGGUAUCUAUCCUUAGAUACUUGAGUAAAGUUACUAAGGGCGCAUGGCGGAUGCCUUGGCGUCGGUAGGCGAUGAAGGACGUGGUAAGCUGCGAAAAGCUCCGGUUAGGUGCACACGACCGUUGACCCGGAGAUGUCCGAAUGGGGAAACCCGG